ACGGGUGAGUAACACGUGGGCAAUCUGCCCUUCACUCUGGGACAAGCCCUGGAAACGGGGUCUAAUACCGGAUACGACCUGCCGAGGCAUCUCGGCGGGUGGAAAGCUCCGGCGGUGAAGGAUGAGCCCGCGGCCUAUCAGCUUGUUGGUGGGGUAACGGCCCACCAAGGCGACGACGGGUAGCCGGCCUGAGAGGGCGACCGGCCACACUGGGACUGAGACACGGCCCAGACUCCUACGGGAGGCAGCAGUGGGGAAUAUUGCACAAUGGGCGCAAGCCUGAUGCAGCGACGCCGCGUGAGGGAUGACGGCCUUCGGGUUGUAAACCUCUUUCAGCAGGGAAGAAGCGCAAGUGACGGUACCUGCAGAAGAAGCGCCGGCUAACUACGUGCCAGCAGCCGCGGUAAUACGUAGGGCGCAAGCGUUGUCCGGAAUUAUUGGGCGUAAAGAGCUCGUAGGCGGCUUGUCUCGUCGGGUGUGAAAGCCCGGGGCUUAACCCCGGGUCUGCAUCCGAUACGGGCAGGCUAGAGUGUGGUAGGGGAGAUCGGAAUUCCUGGUGUAGCGGUGAAAUGCGCAGA
RNAcentral lists this ribosomal RNA (578 nucleotides) under uncultured bacterium. Its description in RNAcentral is "bacterial SSU rRNA". It matches the Rfam family "Bacterial small subunit ribosomal RNA", at positions 102 to 694 of the family's 1533-position model. The record is from RNAcentral.